Molecule: long non-coding RNA, 1382 nt
Filed under: Lepidothrix coronata (blue-crowned manakin)
Lineage: Eukaryota; Metazoa; Chordata; Aves; Passeriformes; Pipridae
Description: lncRNA (ENSLCOG00000008786.1)
Source: RNAcentral
ACGGGGACACCCAGUGCCCCCAGCACAGCACAGCCACAUGGGCACCCAGUGCACCCCAGAGCACCCCACACAUCCCUCCACGAAGUACAGCUCUUAGGGCAUCCCAUGUACCACACAGCAACCCAGGACAACACACACACCCCUUCCCAUGGCAAAUCCUCUCUGGCAUCCCCUGCAAGUAGGAGCAUCCCACACAUUCCUCCAUACAGCACAGCUCCCAAGGCAUCCCCUGCACCACAAUGCAGGGCAGAGCAUUCCAUGUGCCCCUCCACAGGGCACAGCCUCCAGGGCUGCCUGUGCAUGCCAAAGCACCUCAAUCAUCCCAUGGAGCACAGCUCCAAGAGCAUCCCCUGCUCCCCACACAUCUCAUGGGACACAGCUCCUGGAGCACUCCCUGCUUUCCACCCAUCCGUCCAUGGAGCACAUCCCUUGCUCCAGGGGCAAGGGGGGGUGGAGGAAAAGGAAGGGAGUCCCAUGGAACACAUCCCCUGCACCUCACACUUCCCUCCACGGAGCACAGCUCUCAGCACAUCCCAUGCUCCCCACACACCUCCUGGGGCACACCUCCUGGAGCAUUCCCUGCUCCCCACUGAUCCCUCCACGGAGCACAUCUCCUGCUCCCCACACACCCCAUGGAGCACAUUCCCUGCUCUCCACACAUCCAUCCCUCCAUGGAACACAUUCCCUGCUCCCCACACAUCCAUCCCUCCAUGGAGCACAUUCCCUGCUCCCCACACAUCCAUCCCUCCAUGGAGCACGUUCCCUGCUCCCCACACAUCCCAUGGAGCACAUUCCCUGCUCCCCACACAUCCCAUGGAGCACGUUCCCUGCUCCCCACACAUCCCAUGGAGCACAUUCCCUGCUCCCCACACAUCCCUCCAUGGAGCACAUUCCCUGCUCCCCCCACACCCCAUGGAACACAGCUCCUAGAGUGUCCCAUGCUCCCCACAGAUCCCAUGGAGGACGUCCCCUGCUCCCCACACAUCCCAUGGAACACAUUCCCUGUUCCCCACACAUCCAUCCCUCCAUGGAGCACAUUCCAUGCUCCUCACACAUCCCUCCAUGGAGCACAGCUCCCAGCACAUCCCCUGCUCCCCACAGAUCCCUCCAUGGAGCAUAUUCCCUGCUCCCCACAGACCCCUCCAUGGAGCACAUGCCCUGCUCCCCACAGAUCCCUCCAUGGAGCAUAUUCCCUGCUCCCCACAGAUCCCUCCAUGGAGCAUAUUCCCUGCUCCCCACAAAUCCCUCCAUGGAGCACAUUCCCUGCUCCCCACACACCCCAUGGAACACGGCUCCCAGAGCACACCGUGCUCCCCACACCUCCCACGGAGCACAUUCCCUGCUCCCCACACACCUCAUGGGGCACAGCUCCUGGAGCAUCC